Molecule: long non-coding RNA, 716 nt
Organism: Ctenopharyngodon idella (grass carp)
Lineage: Eukaryota; Metazoa; Chordata; Actinopteri; Cypriniformes; Xenocyprididae
Exons: 3
Source: RefSeq, a predicted model, not a curated record
AGAGAAAUGAAGAGAGAGUUUUUGCAGUGAGCAUCAGUAAUGUGAGCGUGAGAGAUGCUGGAGUUUACUGGUGUGGAGCAGAAACCAGAGACACACAUUUGACUUUCAUCUCCCUGACCACCAAAAUUCAGCUCAACCUCAUCAUGGCUCCAGUAGUGAGACGUGAAGGAGAAUCUGCUGAGAUCAUCUGCCCUUAUGAUUCAAUCUAUAAAUCAAAGUCAAAGUCUCUCUGUAAGGGGAAGUGCUCCACUAGAGAUAGAAAUACUCUCAAUGAAGAGAAAGAGACCAAGACUGACAGAUUGACUCUGAAUGAUGACGCCACUGCAAGUGUCUUCACUGGGACCAUCACUGGACUGACAGCAGAGGAUGCUGGGAAAUACUGGUGUGCAGUGACAUUAGAGAGAGACGUGAAUUAUCUUUACACUCAUCUGAUCGUCAUCAUGAACGAGGAGCUGAACUUGACUAAGUAUGAAGGAGACGACAUGUCAAUCCAGUGCAAACAUCAUGAUGAACAUCAGAAACUCUUCUGCAAAGCACAUGAACCCUCCAUGUGUGUGAAGGAUGGAGUUUCAUUGGAGACGAUCAGAGAUGAUCGAUUCUCUUUCAGUGAUGAAGCUUCUACUGGAGUCUUUACUGUAAACAUCACUGAUCUGAGAGAAGAGGAUUCUGGGAUAUACUGGUGUGGAGCUCAAAUCACCACUAAAGUCAACCUCACU